Molecule: ribosomal RNA, 215 nt
Filed under: Glomeromycotina sp.
Lineage: Eukaryota; Fungi; Glomeromycota
Description: partial small subunit ribosomal RNA
Source: RNAcentral
GGGUCAGUAGGUUGGUCGUGCCACCGGUACGUACUGGUCUCACUGAUUCCUCCUUCCUGAAGAACCGUAAUGCCAUUAAUUUGGUGUUGCGGGGAAACAGGACUGUUACUUUGAAAAAUUAGAGUGUUUAAGGCAAGCUAACGCUUGAAUACAUUAGCAUGGAAUAAUGAAAUAGGACGAUCGAUCCUAUUUUGUUGGUUUCUAGGAUUGACGUA